AACCUUCUCCAUGCUUCUUUUGUGGCCUGGAAAUUUUCUUAUGUUGAGCCCAAAUAUGGCACUUUUCCUAGACAGUCUUUAUUGCCACCUUUAGGAAAGAUAAAGGGUAAGUUUCAAUUUCAUGUUACGUCUCUUGACAUAUUGAAGGGAAUUAUGUGGGUGUCUUCUCUUACCCUCAGACCACAGUGAUGACUUUUGACACUCCUGCUUGCCAUGUUCUAGUCAUCAUUUGAGCACUUUGUGCGUGUAACAUAUAUUUCCUACUGUUCCCUGCUUACGUCAUAGAUCCACCUCAUUGAUUAACCGACAGCUUAAGAUAGCAGCAUUCCCAGAUUCAGGCCAUGAUUUAGAGGCUUGUUCUGCUUUUAGACCACAUCACUGAUUGCUGUGGUCCACCAUCCCCUCUGCAUCUCCUCUUCCUUUUUGUAGAUUCAGUAUCGGGAGAAUUUUUCUUCUGGGGAAAAGUUACUGUUCCAUUGGCAGAUGUUUAACAGACGUGUAUUUUGUAUCCAAGAAACAAUGCUUUUGAAUUUGAGGAGAUUUGAUAAAUUGACCAAAGACAUGCUUGAUCUGGCAGUUGGAUUCAAUUUACUGUAUUAGCCCAUUGUGCUAUUUUUUUUCUAUUUAUUUUUUUAGUUUUUAAAUUUAUUUUUAAUUUUGUUUAUUUAUUUAUUUUACUUAUUCACUUUACAUCACUGCCUCCCUCAUGGUCACCCCCUCACAUUCCUUCCCUCAUCCUUCCUCCACUUUUCCUUUGAGCAGGUGGGGGCUCCCCUGGAUACAUCCCCUACCCUUGCACAUAAGUCGCUAUGAGGCUAGGCCCGUCCUCUCCCACUGAAGCCAGGCAAGGCAGCCCAACUAGAAGAACCUAUCUCACAGACAGGCAACAGCUUUUGGGAUAGCCCCUCUACCCCCACACCCUAGUUGUUCGGGACCCAAUUGAAGACCAAGCUGCACAUCUGCUACAUAUGGCUGGGAAGGCCUAUGUCCAGCCCAUGUAUGUUCUUUGGUUGGUGGUUUAGUCUCUAAGAGCUCCCAAGGGAUCAGGUUAGUUGACUCUUGAUUUUCCUGUGGAAUUCCUAUCCUCUUAGAGGCUGCAAUCCCUCCUCAUGUUUUAGUACAGUACAAGAGUACUAAAACAAUCAAAGUUCCAUCCACUGUUUGGCUGUAGGCAUUUGCAUCUGUCUGAGUCAGCUGCUGGAUAGAGCCUCUCACAGCUGUGCUAGACUCCUGACUUCAGGCAUAACAGAGUAUCAUUAAUAGUAUCAGGGACUGGUGCUUGCCCAUGGGGUGGAGCUCAAAUUGGGCCAGUUAUUGGUUGGCCAUUCCUUCAGUCUCUGCUCCAUCCCUUAUUCCUGCAUUUAUUGUAGACAGGAUAAACUUUGGGUUGAAAGUUUUGUGGGUGGGUUGGUGUUCCUAUUGUCCCACUGUGGUUCCUGCCUGGCUACAGGAGCUGGCGUCUUCAGGUUCCAUAUCCCCAGUGCUGUGAGUCACAGCUAAGGUCAGUCCCAUUGAUUCUUGGGAAGUAAUUAUUAAAAUAAAUAGUUGAGAAAAGAAAGAUUCUCUUAACAAUGUAAGAGAUUCUAAGACUCUAAGAACAAUGUAAGAUACAUUAUGGAUGGCUAGACAUUCCUAAAAUUAGAUGUUAUGUUCAAGAGUGGACACACACUGCCAUUAAAGUCCACAGCUGGGCAACAGGACUUUAUGCUGUCUUCCCCCAGCUGUGUGAUGCUUACUAUGGUGUUUAUUAUCUAUUACUUUCAGCUUUGUCUCUGUAGUAGAACCUCCCUUCCAGGGCUGUUGAGGGCACCAAAUAAGAGCUGUAGAUAGCAGGCUUUGCUAGGUGGUUACAAUUUAGUCAAUAAAUACUAAGGAUGAAUAGUCAGGGCCCUUAAGACAUAGAAGGAGUCAAGAAACC
RNAcentral lists this long non-coding RNA (1918 nucleotides) under Mus musculus (house mouse). RNAcentral's name for it is "long non-coding RNA chr1:55420543-55422461". Lineage: Eukaryota; Metazoa; Chordata; Mammalia; Rodentia; Muridae. The record is from RNAcentral.